UUCCCUCUGCAUAUUAGUGUUCAAAGAGGUAUAUUGUUUUGACUUCUAAUUUAAAUUACCGUUUCAAUUGAAAAUAUGAUGUUAGCAUGCAAAUAAAAACUAGUAGGUUAUUUGUCUACUACAGUUUUUCACUUAAUGGUCAGUACAUUAUUCAUGGGAUACGGAACUAGUGUAGAAGUAUAUUUGAUUGACAAUUAAAUUUCAAUUUAUUUUAUAUUUUUGAAACAAGAUGAAUGUUUUUGUUUCUCAUAUGUGUUUAUUUUUUAUUGUUAUCUUUCUCUGCUGUUGGAUAUAUGAUAUUCUGUUUAACACAAUAGUGUUUGAUUUUCUAUUUGGUUCCAAUGUUUGAACUUUGUUGAUGAUGCUAAUUGAUAGGUAGGCACCAAUCUUAUAUAACUGCUCAACAUUGAUGCUUGAACAAAUUACUUGAAUAUCUAACACCUAUUCUUUGUUUCCAUUUUCAUGUAUGACGGAGAAAAUUGGUAAAAAGGAAACUGUUUCUGUCUGACCAGCUGAAAUCAAAUUUGUUUUGGAGUUGCAUCCUCUGUUAGCUAAUAAAUGUUAAAGCGCCACGUCUUUGUCAAAAGUUGACAAUGAGACCAUUAUGG
This 608-nucleotide long non-coding RNA is filed under the name Trifolium pratense (red clover). RNAcentral's name for it is "long non-coding RNA (TPRA_LNC013469)". The record is from RNAcentral. Lineage: Eukaryota; Viridiplantae; Streptophyta; Magnoliopsida; Fabales; Fabaceae.